Non-coding RNA from Chelonoidis abingdonii (Abingdon island giant tortoise), 99 nucleotides. Lineage: Eukaryota; Metazoa; Chordata; Testudines; Testudinidae. The record is from RefSeq and is a predicted model, not a curated record.
AAGGGUGUUUGGGAUGUUACGGCGGGGUGCUAAGGAACCAAAGUUUGAGUGUGAUUCCUUCGUUAGAAUACAAAAACCUGGAACUUUAUGCAAAAGGGA